GUCCUUCCUCUGUCCCCUGCUGUCCUCUCUGCUCCCACAGGAGGGGGAAAACAGAGAAGACACAUGCAGGAUUUUACAGCUAGGAAACACAGACCACCUUCCAGAACAGCUGUUCUUCUACACGGCUGUUCCAGAAUCAAGCACUGGAAAGGGCUGUGCAGGUCCAGAACACAGUCCUAGCCGUCCUUCUGCUUCUACAAUGGGAAGACUGACCUGAUGCUAGCUCUCCAGCAGCCCAAUGGGAACCAUGUGGAAGCCACUGCACAGCUUACAGAUCCUCCACCUCCAAGCUCCAGACAGACACCGUCCAGAAAUCUGUGUUUUAAUUUCCUAAUUAACUCUGGUCACUCCUCAGGUCUGGUCCCUUCUGAUGUUCUCUUCUUGGUAACGAUUUACAUUUGGAAGUAUAUGUUUGCUUUUCAAGA
This is a non-coding RNA of Myodes glareolus (Bank vole), 425 nucleotides long. Lineage: Eukaryota; Metazoa; Chordata; Mammalia; Rodentia; Cricetidae. The record is from RefSeq and is a predicted model, not a curated record.